RNAcentral lists this ribosomal RNA (253 nucleotides) under uncultured bacterium. RNAcentral's name for it is "partial 16S ribosomal RNA". It matches the Rfam family "Bacterial small subunit ribosomal RNA", at positions 524 to 776 of the family's 1533-position model. The record is from RNAcentral.
UACAGAGGGUGCAAGCGUUGUUCGGAAUUAUUGGGCGUAAAGCGCGUGUAGGCGGCUUGUUAAGUCGGGUGUGAAAGCCCUCAGCUCAACUGAGGAAGGGCGCCCGAAACUGGCGAGCUUGAGUGUCGGAGAGGAUGGCGGAAUACCCCAAGUAGAGGUGAAAUUCGUAGAUAUGGGGUGGAACACCGGUGGCGAAGGUGGCCAUCUGGACGACAACUGACGCUGAGACGCGAAAGCGUGGGGAGCAAACAGG